Molecule: transfer RNA, 71 nt
Filed under: Loxodonta africana (African savanna elephant)
Lineage: Eukaryota; Metazoa; Chordata; Mammalia; Proboscidea; Elephantidae
Rfam family: tRNA
About the family: Transfer RNA (tRNA) molecules are approximately 80 nucleotides in length.
Source: Rfam by way of RNAcentral
GUAGGGGUGAUUCAGUGGUAGAAUUAUCGCCUUCCAUGCAGGAGCCCUGGGUUCGAUUCCUGGCCGGUGCA